GCUGUAACAAGUGUUGCCAUGACACAAAUUGGAUAUAAUGCGAGUUAUACAUUGAGAAAUACUGUUGGCAUGGGCUUCACUGAACAGUUGAAGGAUGGGCAAUACAAGCAGCGAGCGGGCGGCGCUGGAGCGGCAGGGGGGACACAAGACCCCUCGAAGAGACAGCACCGGCAGCGGCAUUCACACCAAAGAGCACGACCGUCCGAAGAUUCUGAUGGACAGUCCUGAAGAUGCGGACAUCUUUCAUGCUGAGGAGAUCAAAGAUCUGGGCCCAAUGGAGAAGGAUGAGUUCCUUGCUUGGCAACAGGACCUGGAAGUGAAUAACAAGACUUCCAAGCAGGCUCGCCCGACGGUGUUCCGGUGGAAAGGGGGCGGGAAGGAAGUCUUUAUCUCCGGAUCCUUCAACGGUUGGACCAACAAAAUCCCACUCACCAGAAGUCAGAAUAACUUUGUGGCAAUUCUGGAUCUUCCUGAGGGUGAACAUCAGUACAAGUUCCAUGUGGAUGGUCACUGGACUCACGAUUCAUCAGAGCCCGUCACCACCAGCCAGCUGGGCACAAUCAACAACGUCAUCCAGGUGCGGCAGACUGACUUCGAGGUGUUUGAUGCCCUGAUGGUGGAUUCGCAGAAAUGCUCGGACAUGUCCGAUCUCUCGAGUUCCCCACUCGGACCCAUACCACCAGGAUCAUUUGUACAAACCGAGGAGGAGGAGAAGAUAAAACGCCGACGAUAUGCAACCGCACUCCUGCAGGUCAUCCUCAACAAGGACACGGGCAUUUCGUGGAUGUGACCCUGCAUUGCUACCGGAGCCAAACCACGUCAUGUUGAACCAUCUGUACGCUCUGUCCAUCAAGGAUGGUGUCAUGGUACUGAGCGCCACCCAUCGCUACAAGAAGAAAUAUGUCACCACCCUCCUCUACAAACCCAUAUGAUCUGCACAAAAGCCGCUCCAUUCCCCCCCAUCCGAUCAGGAAGCUUCAUUUUCAGCAGCAAGAACUCAUUUGCAGUCAUUGUCCUGGACUUGCUAAGAAGGAUCUUGAUGUGAUUGAGUGGAACAGCAACUGCAGGGGUCCCGGUGAAUCUGUCCCUGUAAAGCUGACGAUUUGUCCCCGCUUUCUGAUUCAAAAAAGGGAUAUCCACAAUCGACAGCCAGGUAAAGUGCCUCUGACUGUCCCUCAGACUGCCAAAGAGGCACCAAAACAAAUCCCCCGCCACAAAGUCAUUCCUUGCUAAGGCACGUCCAACCCCAUUCCAUUAGUGUACAGAUGUAUUUGCAUUGAGUUGAAGGGAGAGUGCUCAGUUUGUUUGUGACACAGACUGGAAUCGGUGUGUGUCAGAGAAUCACGGUGCUCCUCUCUUCCCCGCCUUCUUCUUCCACAAUUCUCACCAAGGAAACACUAUCGGGGGGGGGGGAAACCGAUAUAUAAAUGGAGCUCUGAUUAGAUUGGGGAAAUCCCCCGAUAAUGAAAAUAAGGGAUCAAAAA
This is an RNA transcript of Amblyraja radiata (thorny skate), 1484 nucleotides long. It is a transcript of the gene named 5'-AMP-activated protein kinase subunit beta-1, with no coding region annotated. Lineage: Eukaryota; Metazoa; Chordata; Chondrichthyes; Rajiformes; Rajidae. The transcript is spliced from 8 exons. The record is from RefSeq and is a predicted model, not a curated record.